Molecule: ribosomal RNA, 522 nt
Filed under: uncultured bacterium
Lineage: Bacteria
Description: bacterial SSU rRNA
Rfam family: Bacterial small subunit ribosomal RNA
Source: RNAcentral
AUCCAGAGAACUUAGCAGAGAUGCUUUGGUGCCUUCGGGAACUCUGAGACAGGUGCUGCAUGGCUGUCGUCAGCUCGUGUUGUGAAAUGUUGGGUUAAGUCCCGCAACGAGCGCAACCCUUAUCCUUUGUUGCCAGCGGUUCGGCCGGGAACUCAAAGGAGACUGCCGGUGAUAAACCGGAGGAAGGUGGGGAUGACGUCAAGUCAUCAUGGCCCUUACGGCCAGGGCUACACACGUGCUACAAUGGCGCAUACAAGAGAAGCGACCUCGCGAGAGCAAGCGGACCUCAUAAAGUGCGUCGUAGUCCGGAUUGGAGUCUGCAACUCGACUCCAUGAAGUCGGAAUCGCUAGUAAUCGUAGAUCAGAAUGCUACGGUGAAUACGUUCCCGGGCCUUGUACACACCGCCCGUCACACCAUGGGAGUGGGUUGCAAAAGAAGUAGGUAGCUUAACCUUCGGGAGGGCGCUUACCACUUUGUGAUUCAUGACUGGGGUGAAGUCGUAACAAGGUAGGCGUAGCGAG